AGGACUGUACUUUCAGGGAUCAUUUCUAUAGAUUGGUACUAGAGAAGUUCCUCUGAACGUGUAGAGCACCGAAAACCACGAGGAACAGGUGUGGUGUCCUCUCCUGAGCCUGAGGCUGGUUCUUGGUGUUGUUUUAUUGCAACUGCCAAUUAUCACUGAUGAUCGUCCUUGCUUUUCACUUAGAAGAGCAAGACGAGAGAACACAGGCUUUUGCU
Cynocephalus volans (Philippine flying lemur) is the source of this 215-nucleotide small nucleolar RNA. RefSeq annotates it as small nucleolar RNA U3. Lineage: Eukaryota; Metazoa; Chordata; Mammalia; Dermoptera; Cynocephalidae. The transcript has a single exon. The record is from RefSeq and is a predicted model, not a curated record.